UGGGUUUUGUGUGUGUCUGUGUGUGUGUGUGUGUCUGUGUGUGUGUGUGUGUGUGUGUGUGUGUGUGUGAGUGUGAAUUUGUCUCAUGCCUAUACAUACUAUCGUGGUGACCAAAGGAAGAUACUUCCUAUCUUUUGCCCUGAGAUAGGCCCUGAUACUAAACCUAAAAGUUGAUAUUUUGUCUAGGCUUCCUGGCCAGUGUGCACAUGAGAUCUUCCUCUCUCUAUUCCUCAUUGCUAGGCUUACACACAUGUGCAACUAUGCUUUGUUUUCACAUGGGUCCUUGGUAUAAGAACUCAGAUGCCCCAUGCUUAUGCAGCAAGGUCCCUUACGCGCUGAGCUUCCUGCCCUGGUCAUAGGUGUAUCCCUCAGUCACCCUUUACGUUUCUCCCCAGACAGUGUCUCACUGAACCUGCAUCUCACCGAAUGAGCUAGACUGGCCAUCAAGCCCUGGGGGUCCUCCUGCUUCUGUCUCUGCAGUUCUGGGAUAACAUACACAGCUCCAUCACCAACACUGGAGUUCUCUUUUGGAUACACAGGCUGACCUGCAAGUCUCCAGGAUGCAUCUGUCUCUGCCUUCUCCCUCUUCCCAGUGCUGAGAUUAGAGAUGCUUACUACCACAACAGGGCUCUGAUGUGGUGCUGGUGAUGCCUCUUCUGAUCCUCAUGCCUGUAAAGUGAUCAUUGUGCCCAUUGUACCCAUGUACAUGACCAACCCUGCACUGAGACAUCUUUCUGGCCUCCAUUAUUAUUUCCAACAUCAUGUGGCAGAGGUAUCUGAGAUGCCUAAAAGGUUAACCAUGAAGGCCCCUUCCCCAGUGCUAUUGAAGGGAAGGGUCCCUAAAUGAUCAUCUAAAACCAAUCUUUUGAUGCUCCCACACAGGAGCGAGACCACUGUGAAAGAGCCUUGGCUCAGAUAAUGCUGCAUUGUCAAGGGCCCUGUCAUUUCUGUAACUUUUUCUGGUCUGUUAGCCACAGGAUCUCUCUUCAUCCCAAUGACUUUGAUGAUUUUAGUAAAGGGCAGAUGGCUGGUGUCAGCUGAGGAGAAAGAGUGCUGCCUGCUACAGCAUGGACACAGCCUUGAAAACACACCCAAGGAAAGCUGAGAAGGCCACUGUACCCCUAAUAGGUCUCUGGUAAGCCAUGGGCAUCCAUUCAUUCAGCCCCAUGUGUGAUCAGAGGCAAGCUGCUCAGGCUGUUACUUGAGGCAGAUUAGCAAUGCCAGAGCCACUGAUCUUGAGCUGUUUUGUAAUCAUGGAAGCUGACCUUCAGCCACUGCCAGGCAGUUUGCUAGACACAGUUUGAACAUAGGACCUCUAGGAGGUUAGAAGAUUCUACCCUACAUGUUUGAAUCCAACGCAAUGGCAUCUUCUUAAUGAACAGUGAAGGAUGUGGGUAGAGAAGACAGCAUGAAAGUUUGAACUUUAAAAAUAAGAGUUUAGAGAUGCUGUGUUCCUGGGUGACUGGGGAAGUAUAGGAGUUUGCUAAAAAUCCUUUGGGGAGCAAGAAUUUAGGUGUGCUCUGUCCCUGGACUCUUAUACAGUAGUUUACUAAAAUCUCCUUGGGAGUCUUCGAUGUUAGGAGGUCAUAAUCCAGAUUACAAGAGAGACUUGGAAAUAGGUGUUGCUUGUUUGCCUUUUUUUUUUUUUUUACCAAAUUUUCUUUUUGGUGUAGGCCCUGGAGACUGGGGCAUGUAUAGCUCACUCUUCAGGGGUCUCCAGAGUCUGAGAGAGUGCUGCACAAGUAUUCAAUCUGCUAUAAACAGCUGCGGAGUGAAGGAAUUAAUAAAGCCACUCAGAACUCCAGGUUCCUUUUCUCCUCUGAGCCCUUGCAUGCGUCCUUAUGCAUCGCUGGUGUGAAAUGAACAUUUGAUGAUUAAUUAUACAUCAAAGCCAAAAGAUAUAACAAAUGCCAGCAAACAUUGGCAGGGUGGUGCUGUGAAUUCUCAGACCCCACUUUGUGGGUCUCUGGUUUUCCCUCCCUCCCAGCUCUGUCUCAGUAUGCAUGUACCAUACAUGACAUCGGGAGAGACAAUUCUGUGUGCUUCCUAACCACCCUGAGGACAUACGUUGAAAAGAUAGCCCAUGCCAGUACACUAGUCAUGAAUGUGUUCAGUUGUAGUUCAUUUAAAGUAUCUCCUAUUUUUUUGGGGCCUUCCCAUUAUUUCUAGUUCUCCAUUAUGUGGGGUGCUUCCUGACUUUAGUGAAUCCCUCAUGGUAAUCCUGGCUCUGUGGCUGGUCACUGUAGCUGUCCAGGAACCAAAUUCAUGCUGACUUUGGUGGGAUAGUGUGCCAGUGACAUCGUGGAAGUGAUGUGACUUCUCCUAUUCCUGUGACUAGUCAGUAAAGAGCUUUAAGCAGGAGGAACUGAGUUUGAUCCUCAGAACCCAGCAAAAAAAAA
Molecule: long non-coding RNA, 2399 nt
Organism: Mus musculus (house mouse)
Lineage: Eukaryota; Metazoa; Chordata; Mammalia; Rodentia; Muridae
Product: predicted gene, 53933
Exons: 2
Source: RefSeq, a predicted model, not a curated record